Non-coding RNA from Bubalus bubalis (water buffalo), 71 nucleotides. The record is from the annotation of a RefSeq genome assembly. Lineage: Eukaryota; Metazoa; Chordata; Mammalia; Artiodactyla; Bovidae.
GCAUUGGUGGUUCAGUGGUAGAAUUCUCACCUGCCACGCUGGAGGCCUGGGUUCAAUUCCCAGCCAAUGCA